Molecule: ribosomal RNA, 650 nt
Filed under: Vermamoeba vermiformis
Lineage: Eukaryota; Tubulinea; Echinamoebida; Vermamoebidae
Description: SSU rRNA
Rfam family: Eukaryotic small subunit ribosomal RNA
Source: RNAcentral
AAGCUCGAUUGGAUUUCGGAAGGUCCUUAGCAGUCCGCCCCUUCGGGGAGCGGGUUGCUGGCCUCCUAUGUUCCUAACGGUCCUCACCCGCGAGGGUGGGGAAUCAACCGCUAGGAUCGUUUACUUUGAGGAAAUUAGAGUGUUCAAAGCAGGCGUAACUCGCCUCCGAAUACGUUAGCAUGGGAUAAUGGAAUACGACUUCGGUCUUGUUUCGUUGGUUUCGCUUGGCUGAAGUAAUGAUUGAUAGGGACAGUUGGGGGCAUUAGUAUUUAGUUGUCAGAGGUGAAAUUCUAGGAUUUACUAAAGACUGACCAAUGCGAAAGCAUUUGCCAAGGAUGUUUUCAUUAAUCAAGAACGAAAGUAGGGGGAUCGAAGACGAUCAGAUACCGUCGUAGUCUCUACCGUAAACUAUGCCGACCAGGGAUCCGGAGAGUUUGCAUGGAUGACUCCCCGGGCACCUUGUGAGAAAUCAUAAGUGUUUGGGUUUUGGGGGGAGUAUGGUCGCAAGGCUGAAACUUAAAGGAAUUGACGGAAGGGCACCACCAGGAGUGGAACCUGCGGCUUAAUUUGACUCAACACGGGGAAACUUACGAGGUCAGGACACUGUGAGGAUUGACAGAUUGAAAGCUCUUUCUUGAUUCAGUGGGUGG